GGAAUCUUCGGCAAUGGACGAAAGUCUGACCGAGCAACGCCGCGUGAGUGAAGAAGGUUUUCGGAUCGUAAAACUCUGUUGUUAGAGAAGAACAAGGGUGAGAGUAACUGUUGACCCCUUGACGGUAUCUAACCAGAAAGCCACGGCUAACUACGUGCCAG
RNAcentral lists this ribosomal RNA (161 nucleotides) under uncultured bacterium. RNAcentral describes it as "partial 16S ribosomal RNA". It matches the Rfam family "Bacterial small subunit ribosomal RNA", at positions 358 to 511 of the family's 1533-position model. The record is from RNAcentral.